Molecule: ribosomal RNA, 1888 nt
Filed under: Gerris buenoi
Lineage: Eukaryota; Metazoa; Arthropoda; Insecta; Hemiptera; Gerridae
Description: eukaryotic LSU rRNA
Rfam family: Eukaryotic large subunit ribosomal RNA (bases 399-1888)
Source: RNAcentral
ACUUUCAGCAACGGAUGUCUUGGUUCCCACAACGAUGAAGAACGCAGCGAAAUGCGAUACGUCAUGCGAAUUGCAUUACUUCGUGAGUCAUCAAAACUUUGAACGCAACUUGCACCCCUUUGGGGUAUAUCUGCUGGAGUAUUUGUUUUCUCCAACCAUCUCCCUCGUGGGGAUAGCGCCCGCCGUAGUCUGCUCCCUCGGGAGCGGCUCCGGCGCAGAUGAAAACACAUUGUAUCUCGCAGCGCAGCUCUGAAAGGAGCGGCUCGGACAAUGCCACCACCACAUGUACGUGAUCGGGCCGCGUCAGCGGUUCUCAUUCUACGUGUAGCGGCGGGCGGUCACUCCAAACGAGUCGCUUCGUGCCUCACGGCGUCAGCGGCGCGACUGCACCUGAUUUCAGAUCUCCAGUCAGAUAAGAUUACCCGCUGAAUUUAAGCAUAUAACUAAGCGGAGGAAAAGAAACUAACAAGGAUUCCCCUAGUAACUGCGAGUGAAGCGGGAAGUGCUCAGACUGAAAAUCUUCGGAGUUGUAGUCUGUAGAAGCCAAGUCAGUUGAGAGGCGAGGAGAAAGUCUCCUGGAAUGGAGCGCCGAGGAGGGUGAAAGCCCCGUUUAUCUCUUCGCGUCUGACGUACGACUGGUUUUCAACGAGUCGAGUUGUUUGGGAUUGCAGCUCUAAUCGGGUGGUAAAUUCCAUCUAAAGCUAAAUAUUGGUGGGAGACCGAUAGUGAACAAGUACCGUGAGGGAAAGAUGAAAAGAACUUUGAAAAGAGAGUUAAACAGUACCUGAAAUUGCUGAAAAGGAACCGAUGGGAGUUAGUGUUGUGAUUCGGUACAAGUACCGGGUUUCAAGUCAAGCUUUCUUGGGGACGCAAGAAAAGGCGCGGGACCUGUAUGGGCCAGCGGACCUGUUGUGCUUCCGAGAGACUUUGGCAAAAUAGCUCUUAUCAACCCGUCUUGAAACACGGACCAAGGAGUCUGACAUAUGUGCGAGUGCUCGGGGUUUAUCCCCCAGCGCGUAAUGAAAGUAAAAGUGUAACUUUGGUUCGCUUAGGUAGGAUGUCUUCGGACAGCACUAUCGACCGACCAUGAUCUCUUGAGAGAAAGGUUUGAGUGUGAGCAUAUAUGUCGGGACCCGAAAGAUGGUGAACUAUGCCUGGCCAGGACGAAGCCAGGGGAAACUCUGGUGGAGGUCCGUAGCGAUUCUAACGUGCAAAUUGAUCGUCGAACUUGGGUAUAGCGGCGAAAGACUAAUCGAACCAUCUAGUAGCUGGUUCCUCCCGAAAUUUCCCUCAGGAUAGCUGCAACCGAACAGUUUUAUCAGGUAAAGCGAAUGAUUAGAGGCCUCAGGGGUGAAACGUCCUUGACCUAUUCUCAAACUUUAAAUGGGUAAGAGCCUUGAGUUGCUUAAUUGAACUCGAUGGUCGAAUGACGGUUGCUAGUGGGCCAGUCUGGGUAAGCUAGACUGGCGAUGCGGGAUGAACCGAACGUUAAGUUAAAGUGCCAAAAUAUCCGCUAACCUAGAUCCCACAAAAGGUGUUGGUUCAUUAAGACAGCAGGACGGUGGCCAUGGAAGUCGGAAACCGCUAAGGAGUGUGUAACAACUCACCUGCCGAAUGAACUAGCACUGAAAAUGGAUGGCGCUUAAGCGGAUUACUUAUACUUAACCAACAUAAUAAAUGCGAAAUUAUGUUGAGUAGGGAGGCGUGGAACUUGUAGUGAAUUCUAUGACGUAAGUCAAGAUGAAACAGGUUCUAGUGCAGAUCUUGGUAGUAGUAGCAAAUAUUCAAAUGAGAACUUUGAAGACUGAAGUGGAGAAAGGUUCCAUGUGAACAGUAAUUGGACAUGGGUGAGUCGAUCCUAAGAGAUAGGAAAAUUCUAUUUGAAAGU